GCAGACGCACUGCGCCCGGCCGCAGUCCCGGGCGGGGCUUUUCCAUCGCCACAGAAACAUCCCAGGCGCUGGGACCGCUUUGACCGGUCAAGGGCGCUGCCGCUGCCCGGGACACAGUU
This is a small nucleolar RNA of Eptesicus fuscus (big brown bat), 119 nucleotides long. RefSeq annotates it as small nucleolar RNA SNORA77. Lineage: Eukaryota; Metazoa; Chordata; Mammalia; Chiroptera; Vespertilionidae. The record is from RefSeq and is a predicted model, not a curated record. The transcript has a single exon.